CUCUGGGGUCCUAACUCAGCCCAUAGGGAUCAGAAAAGGCUUCCUGGAGGAGAAGACACUAAGCCAAGCUGGGUUAAAGCCAAGCCCCCUGUACAUGUCUGGGCAUCCCAGAGGCUCUCACAGACCGCUCCAGUGGCUUGGACAACUGAUUGCCAUCUUUGGCUAAAAACAAUGCUGGUCUCCACAGAGCACAGUAAGAGGAUCUGGUCUGGCUCUGCUUCCUCAAUGGAAGAAGCUUCAGUGGCUCCUCAUUCUCUGAUGAAGCAACUCAAAUACCUCAGCCCGACUCUCAAGACCUUCCACAGCCUGGUCUCACCUGGCUCUUCAGCCUCAUUCUCAGAUUCCAUGUGAUGAGCUUUGUCAAACUGACUGGUUCCAGGUCCCCAGGGCACAGUGGCUGUGCCCUCUUCUCUGCCUGGGAGACCCUCUUCCCAUUUCCCAUAGUUAUUCUUCUAGGCAUUCUCCAGGAAGUCGUUCCUGAACCCUUCCUCUUUGCACCAACUCCUCUGGCUAGAAAUAACCUCUUGGCCUCUCUGUCUCCGUCCUGCCACCCUCAAGUUCAGGGUCAUGUGACCUGUCCAAGGGUUUUAAACUUCCAUUGCACUAUGAGCUUUAGGAUAAUGGCCACUUUUCAUCAUACUCCCUUCCCUCCGCCCACACACACCCCUGAAGGCCCACAUCAGUGCCCAGUUCACAAUAUGUGCAUAGUAUGUGUUGGCCAUCUUCACACCGAAAGCCAGAGGCCAGGGAGCAAGUAGGAGUCAGGAGUCCACCCAGGAUGCCAGGACACUCCUGAGGCUGAGUUCUGCCUUAUCUCCACCUCGGCUAUGUUUCUUAAUAGGUCCCCAUGCUUCCAGCUGCUUCUUGGGAAAUCAGCCCCUCUAGGAGGUCUGGGAGCCACAUUCCUGAGGCCAGAACAUGAAAAAUCUGGCCAUGUACCCACUAGAUACAGAUGUCCACCCAGCCUCCCGUCGGGUGCCUGAAGUGUCAGCUGAGGUUUGCAUCAUCACAGCAUCUCUAAUUCCUUGCAGUCAGAAGAGAGCUGGAGAGUAUCAUACAGAGGCUGGGAGCAGUGAGAGGCAACAGGAGAAAAGCUGUGUGUGUGUCCCUGGUCCCAGGUGCCAGAAGGUGCUGCAGCAUCACCAUCAAUUAACAUCGCCAUUGCAGAGAGCAUCUGAGUCCCCACUUAUGUGCUGGCACUGUGCCUAGCAACUUGCCUAUAUUUUCAAUUUUAAAUCUCCUACUUCCCUGUAAGGCAGACAUUAUAGAUCCACCUUGAUUUUACAGGGGAGGAAACUGAAGUUAAAUCACUCAUCCAAGGUCACACUGCUAGUAGGUGCAGGGGCCCAGGAUUCAACCCCAGGCAUGCCUGACUCCAAGGCCUGUGUUUGUUCUAUCAUUAAUCCUACACACAUUGGGCUUCACACAGGUUUAUUCUGGAGAUACUGACAUAUUCUGUUCAUGUCUGGGGGGUAGUUACACAAGUAUGUGUAAACUUAUGAUCUGUGCACUUUUCUGUGUUUAUGUUAUAACAUCAAUAAAGUUUCCUUUUUUUAA
This 1557-nucleotide long non-coding RNA is filed under the name Homo sapiens (human). RNAcentral describes it as "HSALNT0400812". The record is from RNAcentral. Lineage: Eukaryota; Metazoa; Chordata; Mammalia; Primates; Hominidae.